CAUAUCAAUAAGCGGAGGAAAAGAAACCAACAGGGAUUGCCUCAGUAACGGCGAGUGAAGCGGCAACAGCUCAAAUUUGAAAUCUGGCCCCCAGGGUCCGAGUUGUAAUUUGUAGAGGAUGCUUUUGGUGAGGUGCCUUCCGAGUUCCCUGGAACGGGACGCCAUAGAGGGUGAGAGCCCCGUCUGGUUGGACACCGAGCCUCUGUAAAGCUCCUUCGACGAGUCGAGUAGUUUGGGAAUGCUGCUCUAAAUGGGAGGUAUAUGUCUUCUAAAGCUAAAUAUUGGCCAGAGACCGAUAGCGCACAAGUAGAGUGAUCGAAAGAUGAAAAGCACUUUGAAAAGAGGGUUAAAAAGUACGUGAAAUUGUUGAAAGGGAAGCGCUCAUGACCAGACUUGGGCUUGGCGAAUCAUCCAGCGUUCUCGCUGGUGCACUUCGCCUCGUUCAGGCCAGCAUCAGUUUGUCCCGGGGGAUAAAAGCUUCGGGAACGUGGCUGCUUCGGCAGUGUUAUAGCCCGCUGCAUAAUACCCUGGGGUGGACUGAGGUUCGCGCUCCGCAAGGAUGCUGGCGUAAUGGUCAUCAGCGACCCGUCUUGAAACACGGACCAAGGAGUCGUCUUCGUAUGCGAGUGUUCGGGUGUCAAACCCCUACGCGUAAUGAAAGUGAACGCAGGUGAGAGCUUCGGCGCAUCAUCGACCGAUCCUGAUGUUCUCGGAUGGAUUUGAGUAAGAGCAUACGGGGCCGGACCCGAAAGAAGGUGAACUAUGCCUGUAUAGGGUGAAGCCAGAGGAAACUCUGGUGGAGGCUCGCAGCGGUUCUGACGUGCAAAUCGAUCGUCAAAUAUGGGCAUGGGGGCGAAAGACUAAUCGA
This 868-nucleotide ribosomal RNA is filed under the name Hypocreales sp. FY-2022a. RNAcentral's name for it is "partial large subunit ribosomal RNA". It matches the Rfam family "Eukaryotic large subunit ribosomal RNA", at positions 39 to 938 of the family's 3401-position model. The record is from RNAcentral. Lineage: Eukaryota; Fungi; Ascomycota; Sordariomycetes; Hypocreales.